This 270-nucleotide ribosomal RNA is filed under the name uncultured archaeon. RNAcentral describes it as "partial 16S ribosomal RNA". It matches the Rfam family "Archaeal small subunit ribosomal RNA", at positions 477 to 747 of the family's 1478-position model. The record is from RNAcentral.
CAGCUCUCCGAGUAGUGUGGACGUUUAUUGGGCCUAAAGCAUCCGUAGCUUGCUAGAUAAGUCCUCUGUUAAAUCCACCGAUUCAAUCGUUGGAUUGCGGGGGAUACUGUUUGGCUAGGGGACGGGAGAGGUCGACGGUAUUUCCGGGGUAGGGGUGAAAUCCUAUAAUCCCGGGAGGACCACCAGUGGCGAAGGCUGUCGACUAGAACGCGCCCGACGGUGAGGGACGAAAGCCAGGGGAGCGAUCCGGAUUAGAGACCCGAGUAGUCC